RNAcentral lists this non-coding RNA (148 nucleotides) under Pan paniscus (pygmy chimpanzee). The record is from Rfam by way of RNAcentral. Lineage: Eukaryota; Metazoa; Chordata; Mammalia; Primates; Hominidae. RNAcentral also lists the same sequence under 1 other name.
GCUGGGCAUUGUGGUGGGUGCCUGUAAUCCCGGCUACUCGGGAGGCUGAGGCAGGAGAAUUGCUUGAACCCAGGAAAUGGAGGUUGCAGUGAGCCGGCACAGUGCCACUGCACUCCAGCCUGGGCGAUAGAGCUAUACUCUGUCUCAG